AAUAGACUACCCCGGUAGUCCUAGCCGUAAACGAUGAGCACUGGGUUGAAGGGUCCUCCAUAGCCUUUCAGCCGUAGCGAAAGUGUUAAGUGCGUCCGCCUGGGGAGUACGGGUCGCAAGGCUGAAACUCAAAGAAAUUGACGGGGGGCUCACACAAGCGGUGGAGGAUGUGGCUUAAUUCGAGGCUACGCGAAGAACCUUAUCCUAGUCUUGACAUGCACGGAUUAACCCCUGGAAACAGGGGCCACGCCUUCGGGUGGAACGUGCACAGGUGCUGCAUGGCUGUCGUCAGCUCGUGCUGUGAAGUGUCGGGUUAAGUCCCUUAACGAGCGAAACCCUUGUCGCUAGUUGCCAGCGAGUCAUGUCGGGGACUCUAGCGAGACCGCCGGUGUUAAACCGGAGGAAGGUGGGGAUGACGUCAAGUCCUCAUGGCCUUUAUGACUAGGGCUGCACACGUCCUACAAUGGCAUGCACAAAAGGGCGCAAAGUCGCGAGACCAAGCAAAUCCCAAAAAACAUGCCCCAGUUCGGAUUGCAGG
Molecule: ribosomal RNA, 538 nt
Filed under: uncultured bacterium
Lineage: Bacteria
Description: bacterial SSU rRNA
Rfam family: Bacterial small subunit ribosomal RNA
Source: RNAcentral